AUCUAGUUAGGCUACGGUCUAUCCAACAGUUGUCUGAUGCGUUCUUAAGAUUUAAAUGAAAUGUAAUCUAAAUUUAAUAAUAAGAAGAGUUUGAAAAAUAUAAAUAAGUACUAAUUUCCGCCUCGCAGUGAAUAUCUACCUCUCAAGAAGAUUGCGAUUCUAUGGACCUAAAAUUAAUGGAGAAUAUUAGUAUGUGUCAGCAGUAAAAAUCAAUGCGAACAAGAAGUUUUCUCGCUUUUGAGGAUCUUUACGAGACACUCUUGUGGGUGGAAUGUUUUAAUCCAUGUGAAUUAAUGCGAAGAAACCGAAUUAUUGUUUUCAGUUCUAUAAGGGAGCGAGGAUGAUUUGGACUACUCCUAACAGUUACGCCGCGUCGGAGUGACUGAAACCCACGUGUCUUAGUCAGACACCACCCAGUGAAUCUGCCGUGCGCAAGUCUGAUAUUUCACAUUGUUGAAUAUUUGUUAGCUUGGAGGAUUAGAUUAGAAAGAGCAAUCUUCAUUCUGGCACCGAGUUCAUCCGCAUAUCUUAGUGCCGAAUUGUCCACGCGCACAUCUUCCAUUAGGAGAUCACAAUCAAGGUG
Molecule: long non-coding RNA, 583 nt
Organism: Belonocnema kinseyi
Lineage: Eukaryota; Metazoa; Arthropoda; Insecta; Hymenoptera; Cynipidae
Exons: 3
Source: RefSeq, a predicted model, not a curated record